UUUCAGCCCAACAGUUCAGUAUUGGCAAUGGCGUCUAGAGACACAAACAAUGACAAGUGUGCCAAUUCAUUGCGAAACCUUUUACAAAAAGUCAAAACAAGCUUCUGGACAUCAGAACAGCGAUCACUAACCUCGAUUUGGAUGAAGAUUUCUACUGCACUGAAUUGGAAGCUCAUCCCGGAAAAGGCCCAAAUCCCUGACACUCGAAGAAGAAAGAGACAGCGUUAUAGAGGCGCCGUGCAAGAUACCUGACAAGACUACGUCAGUGAGUGGAUAAACUGCCUCUACCCUCUGUUCUAUUGGCUAACGUGCAAUCACUGGAGAAUAAACUGGAUGAGCUCGGUUCGAGACUAUCCUAUCAACGUGAUCUGAAGAACUGUAAUAUCCUAUGUUUCUCAGAGUCGAGACUAAAUAAGGACAUCUAUCUUGUUUUUCUAUACAUCGUCAAGCCAGAAUGUCAGCGUUGGGUGCACUCAGCGGGGUGAUGUGGGUCUCUGUUAAACAACAGCUGGUGCGCAAUCUCUAAUAUUAAGGAAAUCUCAAGGUUCUGCUCACCUCAUAUGAUAAGCUGUAGACCAUACUAUUUACUAAGAGAGUUUUCAUCUAUAUUUUUCGUAGCUUUCUACUUACCACCACAAACCAAUGAUGGAACUAAGACCACACUCAUCAAGCUGUGUAGGGCCAUAAGCAAACAAGAAAAUGCUCACCCAGAGGCGACGCUCCUAGUGGCCGGUGAUUUUAAUGCAGGAAAACUGAAAUCCGUUUGACCUAAUUUCUCCCAUGUCACCUGUACAACAUGCAAAAAAACUUUAGAUCCCCUUUACUCGACAGAUAGGCAAAUCUGACCAUAACUCUAUCCUCCUGAUUCCUGCUUUCAAGCAAAACUCAAACAGGAAGUAAUAGUGAUGCGCUCAAUACGGAAGUGAUCCGAUGAAGCGAAUGCAUCAAUACAGGACUAAGAUCGAAUCCUACUACACCGUCUCUGGCCCUUGUCGGAUGUGGCAGGGCAUGCAAAUUUUCACGGAUCACAAAGGGAAACCCAGCCGUGAGCUGCCCACUGACGUGAGCCUACCAGACGAGCUAAAUGCCUUCUAUGCUCGCUUCGAGGCUAGCAACACUGAACCAUGCAUGAGAGCACCAGCUGUUCCAGACGACUGUGUGAUCAUGCUCUCCGUAGGCAAUGUAAGUAAGACCGUUAAGCAGGUCAACAUUCACAAGGCCGCAGGGCCAGACUGAUUUCCAGGACGCGUACUCAGACAUUCGCUGACAUUUUAAACCUCUCCCUGAUCCAGUCUGUAAUACCUACAUGUUUCAAGCAGACCACCAUAGUCCCAAGAAGGCCAAGGUAACCUGUCCAAAUGACUUAGCACUCAAAUCUAUAGGCAUGAAACGCAUUGAAAGGCUGGUCAUGGCUCACAUCAACACCAUCAUCCCAGACACCCUGGACCCACCCGAAUUUGCAUACCGCCCUAAAAGAUCCACAGAUGACGCAGUCUCUAUUGCACUCCACACUGCCCUUUCCCACAUGGACAAAAGGAACACCUACGUGAGAAUGCUGUUCAUUGACUACAGCUCAGCAUUCAACACCAUGUACCCUCCAAGCUCAUCACUAAGCUAAGGAGCCUUGGACUGAACACCUCCCUCUGCAACUGGAUCCUGACGGUCCGCCCCCAGGUGGUGAGGGUAGACAACAACACAUCCACCACGCUGACCCUCAACACGGGGGCCCUUCAGGGUUGCGUGCUUCGUCCCCUCCUGUACUCCCUGUUCACCCACAACUACGUAGCCGUGCACGAUUUCAACACCAUCAUUAGGUUUGCCAACGACACGACGGUUGUAGGCCUGAUCAUCGAUGACAAUGAGACAGGGAGGAGGUCAGAGACCUUGCAGUGUGGUGCCAGGACAACAGUCACUCCCUCAACAUCAGCAAGAAAAAGGAGCUGAUCGUGGACUACAGGAAACGGAGGGCCGAGCACGCCCCCAUUCACAUCGACGGAGCUGUGGUGGAGCUGGUCUAGAGCUUCAUGUUCCUCAAUGUCCACAUCACUAAAGACCUAUCAUGGUCCAAAUACACCAACACAGUCACGAAGAGGGCACGACAUUGCCUCUUCCCCCUCAGGAGGCUGAAAAGAUUUGGCAUGGGCCCUCGGAUCCUAUAAAAAAAUCCUAUACAUCAUCACCAUUGAGAUCAUCUUGACAGGCUGCAUCACCACUUGGUAUGGCAAAUGCUUGGCAUCCAACUGUAAAGCGCUACAGAUGGUAGUGUGUACGGCCCAGUACAUAACUGGAGCCGAGCUCCCUUCACAACCAGGACCUCGAUACCAGGCGGUGUCAGAAGAAGGCCCUAAAAAUUGUCCGACUCUUGACACCGAAGUCAUAGACUGUUCUUACUGCUACCGCAUGGCAAGCAGACCAAAAGGCUCCUGAAUAGCUUCUAACCCAAGUCAUAAGACUGCUGAACAGUUGAUCAUAUAUCUACCCUGACUAUUUGCAUUGAGCCCCUUUUUAUUUGCACUGACUCUCUUGCACUGGCUCUAUGCACACUCACUGGAGUCUACCCACACACUCACUCAUACUACAUUGAUACUCCAACACACACAUAUACACACUUAGACUACAUAUGCUCACACACACAAAACACACACACACAUGCAUAUUGACGCCACACACACACACACACACACACUCACACAGACACACUUUCACUCUUUCACACUCUUCCGCAAACGCUACUGCUACCCUGUUUAUUAUCUAUCGUGAUUGUCUAGUUGCUUUUACCCCUACCUACAUGUCCAUAUUACCUCAAUUACCUCCACUACCUCGUACCCCUGCACAUUAACUUGACACACGGAUCCCUCCGGGAACUUUAAUUACGCACACCUGGCCCCUAUUCCCAGUGAUUAGUAAUUGUAUAAGUGUGCCCUUGGUUCACCAUUGUCUUGUCUUUAUUGUUUAUUGUUUAUCUUUAUUGUUCCAAUGUCCGUUGGUGCGUGUGAGUACCUGUGCUGUUUUGGGCUUUCGUGCCG
This 3026-nucleotide long non-coding RNA is filed under the name Salmo salar (Atlantic salmon). RNAcentral's name for it is "lncRNA (ENSSSAG00000108892.1)". The record is from RNAcentral. Lineage: Eukaryota; Metazoa; Chordata; Actinopteri; Salmoniformes; Salmonidae.